Macadamia integrifolia is the source of this 923-nucleotide long non-coding RNA. RefSeq lists it as uncharacterized. Lineage: Eukaryota; Viridiplantae; Streptophyta; Magnoliopsida; Proteales; Proteaceae. The transcript is spliced from 2 exons. The record is from RefSeq and is a predicted model, not a curated record.
UGGUGUUUCGGUAUAAUCGAGGCUCGGUUGUUUGAUUGUUUCUAAGGAGAAAGCUUAUAGGUUAGGGGCUUGCAUCUAUUUUCCUCAGCUCACAAUGAUACUCAUUUGACGAGGAACAAUGGGGGAAGGACAAGUAGAAGUCAAUUCAUAUUCUUGCAUUGGCAUAUUGGUCUUUCCUCCUAGUCUCACCUCACUCCCAGUAGUCUCAUAAUGAUGCCCUAGGUCCAAAAAGGAGAAAAGGGUGGAACUAGCAAAUAGAAGUGAAGUCAGCCAGUAUAAAUCACUGUUGGAGGUACUUGAGAGCUGGCUGUCCAUGUCAUCCAGAAGCAAAUAUGUGAACCAAAUGGCAUUGUAAUUGAAAUCCCAGCAGGCUGUUUGAUCAGAAACCGGAAAUAAAAGGGACUUCCCUGUUGAUUUGUUGAUUUGAUAUUGAAUCAAAAGAUACACAGCAUGGUCAAUUGUUUCGAUGAGGAACCAGAAUCAACGUGACUUCCCUGUUGAUUUGGCAUGAACCGAAGGGUACAUGGUCAGGGUCAAUUCUUCUUAUGAGAAUCACUUAUAGUUAUAGAGGGCAUUUUCACUCUUGAUCAUUUAAUUUCUAGGGUUCAUGUGCAGCCUCUUUGGCCUUCGGGUUGCUGAGAGUCUGAGACUGUACUCACCUCUUAUACAGCUGCCCCUAUGCAACUCAAGUUCGGAGAGAAAUUAUUGCAUCGACAUUCCACAAGGGUUAAUGGGUGCCCCAAGAUAAGAGAUGGACAAACAGUUUCAAGGUGAGUGUAGAAGAUCCAGGAUGAAAUAAAAAGGCAGGCAGAUGGCAACAGAAAAAGCAUAACAAGUUCAAAACAAGAGCUUGCUUGGAAAAUUCAGUGUACUAAAAUCUCAGAUUGCUCCCCUAUGUUUACUAGAUUUAAUAUUUUAAGUCA